RNAcentral lists this ribosomal RNA (400 nucleotides) under uncultured bacterium. RNAcentral describes it as "bacterial SSU rRNA". It matches the Rfam family "Bacterial small subunit ribosomal RNA", at positions 356 to 773 of the family's 1533-position model. The record is from RNAcentral.
GGGGAAUAUUGGACAAUGGGCGCAAGCCUGAUCCAGCAAUGCCGCGUGUGUGCAGAAGGUCUUCGGAUUGUAAAGCACUUUCGGCGGGGACGAUGAUGACGGUACCCGCAACAGAAGCCCCGGCUAACUUCGUGCCAGCCGCCGCGGUCAUACGCAGGGGGCGAGCGUUGCUCGGAAUGGCUGGGCGUAAAGGGCGCGUAGGUGGUGACGACAGCCAGGCGUGAAAUUCCUGGGCUCAACCUGGGGGCUGCGCUUGAUACGUGAUGACUAGAGUGUGGAAGAGGGGCAUGGAAUUCCCAGUGUAGAGGUGAAAUUCGUAGAUAUUGGGAAGAACACCGGUGGCGAAGGCGGCGCCCUGGUCCAUUACUGACGCUGAGGCGCGAAAGCGUGGGGAGCAAAC